This 584-nucleotide ribosomal RNA is filed under the name Filobasidium chernovii. Its description in RNAcentral is "partial large subunit ribosomal RNA". It matches the Rfam family "Eukaryotic large subunit ribosomal RNA", at positions 52 to 621 of the family's 3401-position model. The record is from RNAcentral. Lineage: Eukaryota; Fungi; Basidiomycota; Tremellomycetes; Filobasidiales; Filobasidiaceae.
GGAGGAAAAGAAACUAACAAGGAUUCCCCUAGUAACGGCGAGUGAAGCGGGAAGAGCUCAAAUUUGAAAUCUGGUGGCCUCAGGUCAUCCGAGUUGUAAUCUAUAGAAGUGUUUUCCGUGCUGGCUCAUGUACAAGUCCCUUGGAACAGGGCGUCAUAGAGGGUGAGAAUCCCGUCCUUGACAUGAACUACCAGUGCUCUGUGAUACAUUUUCAACGAGUCGAGUUGUUUGGGAAUGCAGCUCAAAAUGGGUGGUAAAUUCCAUCUAAAGCUAAAUAUUGGCGAGAGACCGAUAGCGAACAAGUACCGUGAGGGAAAGAUGAAAAGCACUUUGGAAAGAGAGUUAAACAGUAUGUGAAAUUGUUAAAAGGGAAACGAUUGAAGUCAGUCGUGCUCUUUGGAUUCAGCCGGUUCUGCCGGUGUACUUCCUUUGAGUGGGGUCAACAUCAGUUUUGAUCGCUGGAUAAAGGCUGGAGGAACGUAGCACCCUCGGGUGAACUUAUAGCCUCCUGUCACAUACAGUGGUUGGGACUGAGGAACGCAGCACGCCUUUAUGGCCGGGAUUCGUCCACGUACGUGCUUAGG